CACAAACAUCUACUGCAGUAGCCCUGAGAAGAAUGCAAAUCGCUGAGGUUGAAGAUAAUUCAUGUCAUAGUACUACAAAUAUCUUCUCGAAGGAGAGUUGUAAUGAAGUGAAUCAUCAGAUCUAAGAUUUAAUACGGUAAACAAGCCAGCAAUUUCUUCUCCCUCAGCAUGGAACUUUAUAUAAUGCAUUUGGAAAAAAAGACUCUGCUGCCAAUACUUUGACCGAUAGCAACAGAUCCAUGUUCAGCUCAACAGUGCAAUGUAAUGUAUACUAACUAAAGAGCAGCAAAUAGUUGACCACAUUGUUCACUCAGAUGCAGUGAAUAUACGCUUAUCUUCACGGAAAA
Molecule: non-coding RNA, 347 nt
Organism: Oryza sativa Japonica Group (Japanese rice)
Lineage: Eukaryota; Viridiplantae; Streptophyta; Magnoliopsida; Poales; Poaceae
Source: RefSeq, a predicted model, not a curated record